ACAGCGGAAGUGGGCCAAGAGGUAUAAAACUCGGGGAUUAUCUUUGGCUAAGACUGACGUUGAGAGCCUGGCAGCUGUGGGUUUGGACAUAACUGCUGUAAAGAGCUGUGAUAUUGCUUUCUCGUGUGGCGGGGAGAGCGGAGAGUGUGCCAUGAAAGCUUCGGGAACACUGCGAGAGUACAAGGUGGUGGGGUGCUACCUGCCCACCCCCAAUGUCGCACUCCGCCCCUGUAUCGCAUGCGAAUCUUUGCACCUAAUCACGUUGUCGCCAAGUCCCGCUUCUGGUACUUUGUGUCUCAGCUGAAAAAGAUGAAGAAGUCUUCGGGGGAAAUUGUCUACUGUGGACAGGUGUUCGAGCAAUCCCCCUUGUGGGUGAAGAACUUCGGCAUCUGGCUGCGCUAUGACUCGCGCAGCGGCACCCACAACAUGUACCGGGAGUACUGGGACCUGACCACUGCAGGCACCGUCACCCAGUGCUACAGAGACAUGGGUGCCCGACACUGUGCCCGGGCCCACUCGAUCCAGAUCAUGAAGGUGGAGGAGAUUGCAGCCAGCAAGUGCCGCCGACUAGCCAUCAAGCAGUUCCACGACUCCAAGAUCAAGUUCCCGCUGCCCCACCAGGUCCUGCGUCGCCAGCACAAGCCACGCUUCACCACCAAGAGGCCCAACACCUUCUUUUAGAUGCAGAGCCUCCCUGUCUCCAGGUCUGCUCAAAUAAACUCUUUGGGAAAACCAAAAAAAAAAAA
RNA transcript from Zalophus californianus (California sea lion), 746 nucleotides. It is a transcript of the gene named 60S ribosomal protein L18a-like, with no coding region annotated. NCBI's taxonomy places the organism in Eukaryota, Metazoa, Chordata, Mammalia, Carnivora, Otariidae. The record is from RefSeq and is a predicted model, not a curated record. The transcript has a single exon.